GGUUAAGCGACUAAGCGUACACGGUGGAUGCCCUGGCAGUCAGAGGCGAUGAAGGACGUGCUAAUCUGCGAUAAGCGUCGGUAAGGUGAUAUGAACCGUUAUAACCGGCGAUUUCCGAAUGGGGAAACCCAGUGUGAUUCGUCACACUAUCAUUAACUGAAUCCAUAGGUUAAUGAGGCGAACCGGGGGAACUGAAACAUCUAAGUACCCCGAGGAAAAGAAAUCAACCGAGAUUCCCCCAGUAGCGGCGAGCGAACGGGGAGCAGCCCAGAGCCUGAAUCAGUGUGUGUGUUAGUGGAAGCGUCUGGAAAGGCGCGCGAUACAGGGUGACAGCCCCGUACACAAAAAUGCACAUGCUGUGAGCUCGAUGAGUAGGGCGGGACACGUGGUAUCCUGUCUGAAUAUGGGGGGACCAUCCUCCAAGGCUAAAUACUCCUGACUGACCGAUAGUGAACCAGUACCGUGAGGGAAAGGCGAAAAGAACCCCGGCGAGGGGAGUGAAAAAGAACCUGAAACCGUGUACGUACAAGCAGUGGGAGCACGCUUAGGCGUGUGACUGCGUACCUUUUGUAUAAUGGGUCAGCGACUUAUAUUCUGUAGCAAGGUUAACCGAAUAGGGGAGCCGAAGGGAAACCGAGUCUUAACUGGGCGUUAAGUUGCAGGGUAUAGACCCGAAACCCGGUGAUCUAGCCAUGGGCAGGUUGAAGGUUGGGUAACACUAACUGGAGGACCGAACCGACUAAUGUUGAAAAAUUAGCGGAUGACUUGUGGCUGGGGGUGAAAGGCCAAUCAAACCGGGAGAUAGCUGGUUCUCCCCGAAAGCUAUUUAGGUAGCGCCUCGUGAAUUCAUCUCCGGGGGUAGAGCACUGUUUCGGCAAGGGGGUCAUCCCGACUUACCAACCCGAUGCAAACUGCGAAUACCGGAGAAUGUUAUCACGGGAGACACACGGCGGGUGCUAACGUCCGUCGUGAAGAGGGAAACAACCCAGACCGCCAGCUAAGGUCCCAAAGUCAUGGUUAAGUGGGAAACGAUGUGGGAAGGCCCAGACAGCCAGGAUGUUGGCUUAGAAGCAGCCAUCAUUUAAAGAAAGCGUAAUAGCUCACUGGUCGAGUCGGCCUGCGCGGAAGAUGUAACGGGGCUAAACCAUGCACCGAAGCUGCGGCAGCGACGCUUAUGCGUUGUUGGGUAGGGGAGCGUUCUGUAAGCCUGUGAAGGUGUACUGUGAGGUAUGCUGGAGGUAUCAGAAGUGCGAAUGCUGACAUAAGUAACGAUAAAGCGGGUGAAAAGCCCGCUCGCCGGAAGACCAAGGGUUCCUGUCCAACGUUAAUCGGGGCAGGGUGAGUCGACCCCUAAGGCGAGGCCGAAAGGCGUAGUCGAUGGGAAACAGGUUAAUAUUCCUGUACUUGGUGUUACUGCGAAGGGGGGACGGAGAAGGCUAUGUUGGCCGGGCGACGGUUGUCCCGGUUUAAGCGUGUAGGCUGGUUUUCCAGGCAAAUCCGGAAAAUCAAGGCUGAGGCGUGAUGACGAGGCACUACGGUGCUGAAGCAACAAAUGCCCUGCUUCCAGGAAAAGCCUCUAAGCAUCAGGUAACAUCAAAUCGUACCCCAAACCGACACAGGUGGUCAGGUAGAGAAUACCAAGGCGCUUGAGAGAACUCGGGUGAAGGAACUAGGCAAAAUGGUGCCGUAACUUCGGGAGAAGGCACGCUGAUAUGUAGGUGAAGUCCCUCGCGGAUGGAGCUGAAAUCAGUCGAAGAUACCAGCUGGCUGCAACUGUUUAUUAAAAACACAGCACUGUGCAAACACGAAAGUGGACGUAUACGGUGUGACGCCUGCCCGGUGCCGGAAGGUUAAUUGAUGGGGUUAGCGCAAGCGAAGCUCUUGAUCGAAGCCCCGGUAAACGGCGGCCGUAACUAUAACGGUCCUAAGGUAGCGAAAUUCCUUGUCGGGUAAGUUCCGACCUGCACGAAUGGCGUAAUGAUGGCCAGGCUGUCUCCACCCGAGACUCAGUGAAAUUGAACUCGCUGUGAAGAUGCAGUGUACCCGCGGCAAGACGGAAAGACCCCGUGAACCUUUACUAUAGCUUGACACUGAACAUUGAGCCUUGAUGUGUAGGAUAGGUGGGAGGCUUUGAAGUGUGGACGCCAGUCUGCAUGGAGCCGACCUUGAAAUACCACCCUUUAAUGUUUGAUGUUCUAACGUGGACCCGUAAUCCGGGUUGCGGACAGUGUCUGGUGGGUAGUUUGACUGGGGCGGUCUCCUCCUAAAGAGUAACGGAGGAGCACGAAGGUUGGCUAAUCCUGGUCGGACAUCAGGAGGUUAGUGCAAUGGCAUAAGCCAGCUUGACUGCGAGCGUGACGGCGCGAGCAGGUGCGAAAGCAGGUCAUAGUGAUCCGGUGGUUCUGAAUGGAAGGGCCAUCGCUCAACGGAUAAAAGGUACUCCGGGGAUAACAGGCUGAUACCGCCCAAGAGUUCAUAUCGACGGCGGUGUUUGGCACCUCGAUGUCGGCUCAUCACAUCCUGGGGCUGAAGUAGGUCCCAAGGGUAUGGCUGUUCGCCAUUUAAAGUGGUACGCGAGCUGGGUUUAGAACGUCGUGAGACAGUUCGGUCCCUAUCUGCCGUGGGCGCUGGAGAACUGAGGGGGGCUGCUCCUAGUACGAGAGGACCGGAGUGGACGCAUCACUGGUGUUCGGGUUGUCAUGCCAAUGGCACUGCCCGGUAGCUAAAUGCGGAAGAGAUAAGUGCUGAAAGCAUCUAAGCACGAAACUUGCCCCGAGAUGAGUUCUCCCUGAC
RNAcentral lists this ribosomal RNA (2793 nucleotides) under Escherichia coli. RNAcentral describes it as "partial 23S ribosomal RNA". It matches the Rfam family "Bacterial large subunit ribosomal RNA". Lineage: Bacteria; Pseudomonadati; Pseudomonadota; Gammaproteobacteria; Enterobacterales; Enterobacteriaceae. The record is from RNAcentral.